Molecule: non-coding RNA, 703 nt
Organism: Cinara cedri
Lineage: Eukaryota; Metazoa; Arthropoda; Insecta; Hemiptera; Aphididae
Source: the annotation of a GenBank genome assembly
GCGCGGUCAAGGCCGAAUUUUACGGAACCGGACACACAGAAAUGGCGUUCCAAACCCGUAAUGUGACAUUAUCUCUUUAGAUCUUUUCACGAGCCCCACGUCAUUCAUGGCGUAAAAAAACAACAAAGCCCUGAAAGUUUGCGCUACGUAUCGCAAACACUGGCACGAUACUCGUUUAUUCGCCGGUUCGAAAUUUUAGAAACGAGGUUAAUAUUAAUGCUAUUAUAAUCGAACUAAUCGUAGGUAGGUAUUUUCAAUUAUUUAUAUUGUCGUAAUGUAAAUAAAAUAUUGUAUAUUAUAUAUAAAUAUAUUUAUAUGUAUAUAAAUACAGUAAAUGGGGGGGGGACUUCAGCCUUUUAGCCCCCCCUGCGUACGCCACUAUUUCAGUCAAUGUAUUAUUACUAUUGUAUUAUUUUUACGAUUGGCAGCGUCGAUUGCUACGGCGCGUUUUUAAAACGACGAAAACCAUCACACGAUUUUUGUACAAGUUAUAAGCUGGAUAAAUUAUUGGGUGGUUUGUACUUGAUGCACUUUGUUGAAUUGUUGUCCAUAUGGCCAUGAUCGACGUUACUUCGAUUUUCUCUGAUUAACACUGCAUAUUAAAGUCUAUGUUGCAAAAAUAUUAUGAAUUCAGAUUUUAAAAUCUAACGAUUCGAAGGAACGCUGCAGCAGCAGCAGACGUCAGUAUAAUAAACACUUCCUA